Non-coding RNA from Jatropha curcas, 459 nucleotides. The record is from RefSeq and is a predicted model, not a curated record. NCBI's taxonomy places the organism in Eukaryota, Viridiplantae, Streptophyta, Magnoliopsida, Malpighiales, Euphorbiaceae.
GGUUCGUACUAAAACCAAUUCGGUUAAACCGAAUGCUUACCCCUAACCAGGAGAACCCAACAAUAGCUAUAUGUGCCGCUAUCCGCCAUUCUUCUAAUUCCAGCGUUUGAUCAAAGCCUUAAUCACCUCUUCUUAUGACGUUGAACUGAUUUUUCUGUGGGUUUAACUUUUAUGAGGUGCCAUUUAUUUGAUUAGCUUUUCUGGAACUCCAUUUUGUUGAAGAGAGGAGCUCCAUUUUUGUCUGGAGUACAGGUUCUUGUUCAUUUUUUUAUUUCUAACACAAUUCUUUACUCAAGGAUCUGUAAUCAUGUUCUGUUUUGUUUCGGUUCUUGUUAGUGUUCUGACAAAUACUAGAGAAAUCAGUUUCUGUUGUCUUUGACUCAUAGAAACCCGAAGAAAUUGAGAGUACCAGAAACCAAAAGUAAAUAUAUAAAGAAAAUUAGAUUAUUGCUGCUUCAA